UCGUGUGCUUUCUUCUGGACAUGUGGAUACAGAACUAAAUACAAGAACAAAAGCCAAGAGCUUUAGAUGUAGUUUCUGAACCUGCCAUGAAUAAAUCCAUGCAAAUGGCUACCAAUUGAGGCUCUGAAACAUCUCAGUAUAGAAUUCAAAACAGUUAGAUAUAUAUCUAUUAAAUUUCCAGAUGUGAAGAAUGUCGUCUUGGAUAUUCAGAAGUUUGAUCUUCUAAAGAAAUAUGGAUCUAAUUGGCCGAAACGACCAACCCCAUUCUAGCUCGAAGUGAUAUUAUGUUACAUAUAUUUUUUCUAUUGGUGAAAAGGAUUAUCCACUAAUCUAAUAUAUGAAGAAAAGAGAACGACAUAUCAAAACUAAAUAAAAUAGAAAGAUAUAAACGAAUGAUUAAUAUUGCCAAAAAUGUUAAAGAUGGAGAUAGGAAAAUCGAGUAAGAAAUCUUUUUUACAUUAUUUUUUUACAUUACUACAUUGUACAUUACAAGAGCAAAUUUCUAAACUCCGCACAAUAUUAAAUGUGGUGAUAUUAAUUCAUCCAUUAUACAUGUUGAAUGCCAGUUAAUGUGCUUAUAUAUUUCUAUAUAAGUUAAUAAAUAGCAGUUGUAUUUUUAUGCUAUAAAUGUAAAUGAAUGUAUAUAUACAUGCACAAAUAAAAUUUUAUGAAAUAUGAAAUUCGAAAACUAAAGCUGACGGCUAUAUAUAAGAAAGGUCGGCUAUAUAAGAAAAAUUACUACAUAUUGUUCAAAAUGAUUUACAUAUUUCGGUUGUACUUUGGAAAAGUAUACGGUUAUGAUUGACAUGAAAUUUGGAAAAGUUUAGAGAAAGAAAAUGUAUUCUAAAUCGAAAUUUUAGUUUCGACUAUUUAUUAAUUUCCAAAAUAUCAAUAAAAAACUUUCGGUACAUUGAAUUUUGCCUAUAUAGAUAUAAUUAAUUAUAUUACACAGACAUUAUUAAUCAACCAGACAAGACGUUGUCAUAUCAUUGAAUGUAAAGCAAUCACAAUAUAUUCUAGAAUACAUAGGAUAAAAUGGAUUAUUUUAAUUUCAAUCGAUCGAUAAAAAAUAUUUUCAGUAUCAAUUUAGUAUAAGAAUUUAUUAU
Molecule: long non-coding RNA, 1106 nt
Organism: Apis florea (little honeybee)
Lineage: Eukaryota; Metazoa; Arthropoda; Insecta; Hymenoptera; Apidae
Source: RefSeq, a predicted model, not a curated record